GGGGAUUUAGCACAGUGGUAGUGCACUUGCCUAGCAAGCGCAAGGCCCUGGGUUCAGUCCCCA
Molecule: transfer RNA, 63 nt
Filed under: Rattus norvegicus (Norway rat)
Lineage: Eukaryota; Metazoa; Chordata; Mammalia; Rodentia; Muridae
Rfam family: tRNA
About the family: Transfer RNA (tRNA) molecules are approximately 80 nucleotides in length. Their secondary structure includes four short double-helical elements and three loops (D, anti-codon, and T loops).
Source: Rfam by way of RNAcentral